CCUACGGGUGGCAGCAGUGGGGAAUAUUGGGCAAUGGGCGCAAGCCUGACCCAGCAACGCCGCGUGAAGGAAGAAGGCUUUCGGGUUGUAAACUUCUUUUAAGAGGGAAGAGCAGAAGACGGUACCUCUUGAAUAAGCCAUGGCUAAAUACGUGCCAGCAGCAGCGGUAAUACCUAGGUGGCAAGCGUUGUCCGGAUUUACUGGGUGUAAAGGGCGUGUAGGCGGGCUGACAAGUCAGAUGUGAAAUUUCGGGGCUCAACCCCGGACCUGCAUUUGAAACUGUUGGUCUUGAGUAUCGGAGAUGCGGGCGGAAUUCCUAGUGUAGCGGUGAAAUGCGUAGAUAUUAGGAGGAACACCAGUGGCGAAGGCGGCCUGCUGGACGACAACUGACGGUGAGGCGCGAAAGCGUGGGGAGCAAACAGGAUUAGAUACCCCAGUAGUC
This 442-nucleotide ribosomal RNA is filed under the name uncultured bacterium. Its description in RNAcentral is "partial 16S ribosomal RNA". It matches the Rfam family "Bacterial small subunit ribosomal RNA", at positions 338 to 795 of the family's 1533-position model. The record is from RNAcentral.